Non-coding RNA from Hydra vulgaris (swiftwater hydra), 1565 nucleotides. Lineage: Eukaryota; Metazoa; Cnidaria; Hydrozoa; Anthoathecata; Hydridae. The record is from RefSeq and is a predicted model, not a curated record.
CAAAGGUACAAAAAUGCAUGGUGCAAAAUGUUUUUAAAAACAUUAAUUAAUGUAGAUGCAAAUUUUACGGAGAGAAAAAUAUCUUUAUGUUUACAUUCAAGUAUAUAAUUUUCAUUAUAUCACAUCCUGUAUAUUUAGUAAUCUUGGUUUUAGUUAUAAGCUAUUGGACUGAAAGAAAAAAAAUUCGAGAAGUUAAAGUUAUUUUAUUUUAGCUUUUAUUUAUUUAUUUAUUUGUCCGAAGUCAAUCAGGGGGAAAUGGUUAUUGAUGGAGCCUAUAAAUAUAAUUACAUAGGUAAAACUGAGUUUUAUUUUUCUCUGCCUAUUGACGCUUUGCCCAAAACAGUCGUUCAAAGCAAUUGCAAAAAACAUGGGUUAAAUACUUCAGAUAAUGAACCUUCCAACACCACUGCUCUGGAUAAUAACCUCAAUUUUUCUUAUCAAAUUGAUAAUAAAAUUAGUGAAUUUGAAGCUUUAUCUGAUAAAGAUUCAGAUAAAAGUGAUAAGAAUAAUGUAAUAGAUGAACUAGAGCGUGAUUUAACAUUUUAAUCUUCUCAGCAUAAUAUCACUCAAUAAUUCACUGACUUAAUUUGCUGAUCUAUGACCAGAGCUGCUUAGAUGUUAAUGCAUCCUAAAAUUUUAUUUAAAUUUGUGUAUUUAAAUAAAAUUCAUUAUAUAUAUGUAUUUUUUAUGCUAUAUUUUAUAUGAUCUCAUCAUCAUUGUCAUCAUCCUUUAUUUUCCUUUAUUCUAUACAUUUAUUCAACCUUAAUUAUAUUUCUUUAUAAUUUCUUUAUUUUUAAUUUGGCGUUGAGUAAAACAAGUACUUCACUAAGUUUUAAUUAUUAUUUUUUGACUAAAGUAUACACUUAUUAACUUUUUUUAACGUUAAUGUUUAGCCUUAAAUUAUUAUUUUUACUGAACAUAAUGUUUAGCCUUAAAUUAUUAUUUUUAAUGAACAUCAAGAAUGAAAAAAGUCUUGUCUGCAGAUACCUGUCUCUGUAUUAAACAAAAGUAAAACAAGAUUGGAAAAAGUGAUCAUAAUUACCUCUGUGAUUAAGGUGAAGGGAGUAGCAGCAAAAAGGCAAGUAGCAAAAAAAUUGAAUUGGACAGGGCAAGGUGAUCUUCAAAAAAAGUCUUUCUGAAUUCUUAUAUUUCGUCAAGUUAUUGAAAAAGCAAUACGAAGAAAUUUGCUGACAAAAGAUACCACAUACAGCGAAAUUUAAAAGGCAGUUGUGGCUUUUUUUUCCGGAGCUCUAGACAGAAAUAGAAGCAGAAAAGAAAAAGCAGAAAAAAAGUCCAUCCAAAAAAUCAGUUCAACAAAAAAUCGUGGCUAUACUGCCCAAUCAUUGACAUUGAAACCUUUAUCUGGAUUAUCAUUACCACGAUUUGAACGCUUUAUUUUUGAUGACAAAGUAUAAUGUUCUCAAAGUCUUGCAUGAUCUGUUUUAUAUGUUAUGUUUUAUAUUAAUUGUAUAUUUGACAUUAUUAUAAGCUUUACAAGUAUUUAUAUUAUUAAUGAUAAAUUUAAUGCAUUUAUUUUUUAUAUAUUUUUAAUGCAAAUUUAUUAA